UUAAAGUCUAACCUGCCCACUGAAAUUUUUAAAUGGCCGCAGUAUUCUAACUGUGCAAAGGUAGCAUAAUCAUUAGUCUUUUAAUUGAAGGCUGGAAUGAAUGGUUGGACGAGAUAUUAACUGUUUCAUUUAAAUUUUUUAUAAAAUUUUAUUUUUUAGUCAAAAAGCUAAAAUAAAUUUAAAAGACGAGAAGACCCUAUAAAUCUUUAUAUUUUAUUUAUUUUAAUUAUAAAGAUUAUUUUUAUUAUAAUAAAUUAAAAUAUUUUAUUGGGGUGAUAUUAAAAUUUAAAAAACUUUUAAUUUAAAAAACCAUUAAUUUAUGAAUAAUUGAUCCAUUAAUAAUGAUUAAAAAUUUAAGUUACUUUAGGGAUAACAGCGUAAUUUUUUUGGAGAGUUCAUAUCGAUAAAAAAGAUUGCGACCUCGAUGUUGGAUUAAGAUAUAAUUUUGGGUGUAGCCGUUCAAAUUUUAAGUCUGUUCGACUUUUAAAUUCUUACAUGAUCUGAGUUCAAACCGGCGUAAGCCAGGUUGGUUUCUAUCUUUAAAAAUUUAUUAUAUUUUAGUACGAAAGGACCAAAUAUAAAAAUAAUUAUAUUUUAAAUAAGAAUAUUAUUAAUUAAA
This 619-nucleotide ribosomal RNA is filed under the name Drosophila soonae. RNAcentral's name for it is "partial 16S ribosomal RNA". It matches the Rfam family "Bacterial large subunit ribosomal RNA", at positions 1895 to 2814 of the family's 2925-position model. Lineage: Eukaryota; Metazoa; Arthropoda; Insecta; Diptera; Drosophilidae. The record is from RNAcentral.